This 596-nucleotide ribosomal RNA is filed under the name uncultured bacterium. Its description in RNAcentral is "bacterial SSU rRNA". It matches the Rfam family "Bacterial small subunit ribosomal RNA", at positions 897 to 1502 of the family's 1533-position model. The record is from RNAcentral.
AAACUCAAAGGAAUUGACGGGGGCCCGCACAAGCGGAGGAACAUGUGGUUUAAUUCGAUGAUACGCGAGGAACCUUACCCGGGAUUGAAAUGUAGAUGACGGAUGGUGAAAACCGUCUUCCCUUCGGGGCGUCUAUGUAGGUGCUGCAUGGUUGUCGUCAGCUCGUGCCGUGAGGUGUCGGCUUAAGUGCCAUAACGAGCGCAACCCACAUCGGUAGUUGCUAACAGUUUUCGCUGAGGACUCUACCGAGACUGCCGUCGUAAGGCGCGAGGAAGGUGUGGAUGACGUCAAAUCAGCACGGCCCUUACAUCCGGGGCGACACACGUGUUACAAUGGGAGGGACAAAGGGCAGCUACCGGGCGACCGGAUGCGAAUCUCUAAACCCUUCCCCAGUUCGGAUCGGAGUCUGCAACUCGACUCCGUGAAGCUGGAUUCGCUAGUAAUCGCGCAUCAGCCAUGGCGCGGUGAAUACGUUCCCGGGCCUUGUACACACCGCCCGUCAAGCCAUGAAAGCCGGGGGUGCCUGAAGUCCGUGACCGGAAGGAUCGGCCUAGGGCAAAACCGGUGAUUGGGGCUAAGUCGUAACAAGGUAGCCG